UCCUGAAUGGAUCUUCUCAAGAGAAGUAUUCUUUUGUUUAUGCUGGGUGUUGAAAGAUAUGCCCUUCUGUGGCGUGUCCCAAUUUUACAUAUUGCAGUUGACUGGUGGAAGCAGCAGGUGUUCCAUUUUUCAGGUAUGCUUCACAUUUUUGACUUGGGGAUUAAAUUCUAAAUGAUCGCAAUAGGAAUUCAUACUUUUCUCUUAAACACUGAAGUCAUUAUAUCAUAAUAAUCUUAUAUUUUCUCUUUAUAUAUGAUUAUCAGUGCAGUGUUUAUAAAUCGGAGUUAAUAUUCUUGAUGUGCCGCAGCGCCAGAGUUAAUUUCUCACUUAUUUCCACUAGAUGUUUAAAACCUAGUGUGGAAUCUCCCUUAGUCCCCUCAAGAUAACCACCAAUUAGGUGUCACACUGAUUCUAGAAUACUAUGAACUUGUCAAAUCACCUGCUUCUUGUCACGAAUUAGAAUAAUGAAAUUAUUUGAACUGGGAACAUUGUUUGCACGUAAUUACUUAAAAUUGAUGAAAUGCUUGAGAUACUUUUUCACCUGCGCGAAACGUACAAGUUAAAGAAUUAAGAAUUCAUUAACAGGGGACCAUUCCACCUCUUUCAGUUCCCUAUUAUCUUAGAAUAUUGUUUUAUUUCCUAGACCAAAAUUGUCCUUAAUUUGUUGCUUGUCUUGGUUGGAGUUUGGACUUGGGCCAUGUUUCUUUAAGGUAGACCAUUUUUGCAGCUUUCUGCUAGCAAAUAGCCCAUUUCUAAGCUGAUCCAACAGAAUAGUAGAAAUGCCAGAAACUCCUCAAACAUAAUGCAUACUAGACUAGGAAGAAAGCAAAUUUACAUUUACAUAUAACAGUACUUCAUUUAAUCAUAAUUUAAUUAUCAAGUGAUCAACAUGCCCUUUUACUCAAGAGUUGAGACAGUUAACCAAUUAACAAGUUCUGGGCACCUUUAGAAGAGUGCUUGAAUGGAGCCUGGUUUUAAUUGAUUAAACUAACCGAUUGAAAUCUAGUGUAACAUUUGUUCAAACAUAUAGAGAUUUUAAGGUCAGGUGGGAGAGGUCUGGGCUUAAUAAAGUAGCCCAAAGUUUUGUAUGGUACUUUAUUUCGGAUGUGAGUGAAACAAAAAUCUCAUAUUAAUUCAUUGUCCUAUAAUUGAGCUCUAUGGACCUCAGGUGGUCCAUUAUGCACUGGAUAUGAAAAUUUUCACUUUGACUUUAUUCAAAUACAAUCUUUAUUUUGUUUUCUUUUGGGAGGCUCAAACUCUCUUUUCUUUUCUUUUUUCUGACACCUAUUGAAUGACGUUUCCCAACUUAAAUGACACAAGUCUUGGUCCACACCCCCCAGUGUCACUGUUUUUAUUGGAUGAUUUAGUCAUCCCUAACCCCAAUUCAAAGAAACUUACACAUUUUUAUAACUGCUUAGGCUAAUGUUUAAUUCUCAACUCCUACAUAAUGCGCUCCCCACCUUUGCUGGAUUUUAUUUCCUGUCUCUGCCAACUUUAGUUAUGGAAGAAUAAAAAAGAAAAAAAUGGUUCCCCUUAGAUUAAUAAGAUGUCAAAUACUCUGUCUCCUCCAUUUGGAAGCAAUCAAAUCUUUUGAAAAGCAGAGACCCUUUUGUGCGUGGGUGAGUCCACAAGUCUAGUUGAUGUCUGCUACUGCGGUCCCAUAUGUCUGCCAAAUAGGAUGCAUGAAGUGAUAGGUAGAAAGGUGCCUCUCAUACUACAGGCUUCUGAUCCAUAUAACAACAAUCUUUUCCAAAUACAAACUUAGAUUGCGAUGCCAAAAGGACACUGUUAUAGGAAGAAUCUUAGGCCAAGUUUAGUAGAAUUACUACUCCACCUUCUUCAUCCUUUUGCUGAUCCAUCUUGUCAUGAUUUUAACAGUUUUAUGGCUUUAUCUUUUCACUCAAAGCAACAUUACCCUACCAAAUUACCAUUGUUUGGAUUAGAAACUACUUGUAUGCUGUCUCCUGUGUUUUCCAUCAAAUUGAAAGACUAACCUAAUGUAUUUUUAGUUUUCUAAAGGAUUCAUUAUUUUGUCUGCUUCUCCCUUGUCUUGUAAUCAAACAUCCAAGCAUAUCUCUAAAUUUACUGCUGCUAUUGUAUCUUGAUCCAGGACCAUGGUAUUGUUCAGAUCAUCUAGAUGAACAAAUACAUUGUUCCUUUAGAAUACCAAAAUUUAGGUAGUUUAGCACAAUAGUUACUACAGUCAAGGAAGAAAUUAGUAAUUGGAGUCUCAAUCUAAAGUUUUUUUUAGGGGUACAUAAAAAUUUUAAAACUGAAACUCAAACCACAAAUUUUAAAAAAAGAAUCAUUACAAAUCUUAACUACUCUUGAUAACUACCAUCCAGCAAACUAAGACUAUCCUAGUGGUCUUUUUCCAUGCUAAGUGCAUGACAACUAAUCUCUUGGAGGGAAACUUUCCAUAAUCUGUCUCUCAGAUUAAAUUCUGCUAUUCUCUAUGCCCAUAAUUGUAAGACAGCUUUCUAAUAAAGCUGAACUAAAUAACAAAAAGGCUAAAACUAUAUCUUGACUUCUUGAGCGAUCCCAAAGCUUAACUAGAAAUUUAUAAUUUCAUAUUUGGGAAUAGCAUUCAGUAAAAAAUGUGGCAAUUAGGAUAAUAUCUAAUCACAAAAUUCUGAGUACUGCUCCUCUCUCACGCUAUGUACAAGGUUGUUUUUUAGGCUCAAUUAGUCGUUAAAAUCAGAACUCACUGAAACCAAAAAUUAAAAUAUCUUGACUUUCAACAACAGUAGGCAGUCACAUUCUAUCCACAUCUCUGUUCUCUCAUGUCCAAGAAAAGAAAAACAUUAAUUCCACAUCCAGUGGGGAAUACUGCAAAAAUAAGCAAACUGUUCCUGUAUCGAAAAGUGACGGGAUGCAAUUCCAUUGUAGUAAUGAUGUAAUUGCUGCUCAAAAAUGUAAAGAACUAAUGAAAUUGUAUAUGUAAUGAGAUUUUUUUUUGAUAAGUAAAUACAGUAAAUAACACACUUACAUUAAAACACUGGUUUCCAAAAAUUGGCAAACAGUAUUUUUAUUAUCAUAGGUCUUCAGACAAAUUUCUACAAUUGGAAAUCUACAUCUCAUACAUGCAUUGUGGUGCUUAAUUGGUAUCUGUCUUUUUAGGGGAAUAUCAUAAAGUUCCCUAGUUAGCAAUUCUACUGAAUUGUCUAUAUUCUUCCUGAAACAUUUUUCCUUGGGAUUGCCUCCUGGAAAUUCGAAAUAGUUCAUUCAUUUACAUGAACUCACGAGUGCAAGGAUGACUUGAAUCCACUCGUUUCCCUUUUCCUAACUACUAUUUUCCAUUUAAAAACACUAGAAAAUGCUAUUAUAGAUGCAAAGACAGAUCCAUAGCUUGCAGUACUGUUGUUUAAAACACAUUCCCUCCCCUUCCUUUUCUUCCUGUUUCUCGCAAGUAUAGUCUCUAUACAGUGAAAUGUAAAAGACAUACGAAGAGAAGUAUAAUAAGAAAAAGCUUAUGGCCGAUCUUUUCUUAAUGGAAAAUCUCUCUCUCUCUCUCUCUCUCUAUAUAUAUAUAUAUAUAUAUAUAUAUAUAUAUUAACUUGAUAUUGGAUGUGUUAAUCUCAUAUGUUCCUACCAUAUGAUAUUGAGAUAGUUCCAAAAAAGGUCCAGCUGUUGGUAACAUUGAUGAAUUUCAUUGGAAGUCUUGCACAUGUUUUGCAUUAGUUCGGUAUAAAGAAACUUGAUAAAAGGAAAGUGAUCACUGCCUCAUAUGUUGCUGUAGAUACAGAUUUUGGUUAAAUUUUCUUUAGGCAUUUUAACCAAACACCAUUGGAGGGAAUGCUUGUAAAUCUUUUGCGAAUAUAGUAUUUAAUUCUGGAUUUUUGGUCAAAGUAGGCGUGGUUUUAGGUGCGAGAAGAGUGGGUUUAAUGCUGUAGCACUAGUGAAAAAUAAAACACUGUAGUAGUUGACAGAUUAGGGUGUAGCGAUAGAUGAUUUGGACAUGUAAUUAUACCUACAAUUAAUAUGCCAGGAAGAGAGGUUUCAAGAAGCAAUAACUUGAAAUUACAUAUCUCAAGUAAGGUAAGAUUAUCUUUUUCAUGAAAACGAAAGGAAGAACAUAAGCUGAAGGAUCACAUGGUUAACAAAUUCAUCUGAGCUCUUUAUCCUGAUAAUAGCAAAAGCUACCGACAAAGUCUUUUGUCCUCAGUUAAUGGAUGGUCUUUUUUCUUUAGGGAGUGAACCAAUAUCAUGAAAGCUUUUAGGAUAUGGAUUUGAGCCUCCUUUUUGUAGUGGUGUCUCUAGAUAAUUGUAGUACAGUACUGCAAAAUCUGAUAUUGACUGUUUUGUAUCGCUACUGGUAUAUUUGUCAAGAUAAAUAUUAGUGUAGCUUCAGUAAGGUUAGAAAUUAUUGUCCGAUAUAUUUUGAAGUUUCAUUUGAUUAUAAUAGUAUUGUUUAAAAAGUUGGCUCAGAAAGUCAGAAUUACUUCUUCUUUUUUGAGUAUUAUCAGUCAGCUUAAUCUGCAUAUGAAGCUUAUUAUCUAGUGUCUACAUUGGGAUGGGUUAAUAAAGUCUUUACUAUAUGAUAUAUAUUUGUUAUAGCUGUACAUGCCUCAAGCCUCAUAUCGGGAUAUGGUAAAGGUUCAUUUCUUUAUUAAAACUUUGAUAACUGCAUGAUUUGGACAAGCAAGAUGAAAGAUGUUAAAAGAGUUUUGGAGUUGACUACAAUUUCUUGGGGCUCUAAGCUGAUUGAUUAUCUCCCAUCUUUAUUCCGCUAACAAAACCUAUCUAAUUUGAUGGAGACGAUUAAGGUUAUAUUUGUUUGCAAGGAUUAUACUUGGGAUAUAACUAUUAAUUUCAAGUGUCUUGUUUGUUUUCAAAUUUGAACUUGGGACUAUUAGUCUCGGAUUAUAAAAUGACUUAAUAUUUUUGACAUUAUAAUUAUAUUUCCGGAAUUAUAAUCCUAUGAUUAAUUAGAUUUGGCAAAAAAUAGGUUUGUAUUGGUUUUGGUUACAUAAAAUAGGUUUGAGUUAAUUUUUGGAACCAAAACUAUAUUACCUAUAUUUAAUAUUGGUUAUGUGGUUUGAAUUUAAAUGGUAAUGGGUAGAAUUCAGGUCAACCUAUUUUUCAAAUUAUAGUUUCACUAAAAUCUUAAUUUCUUUUAUACUAAAAGAGUCUUAUUUUAAUUUUUUAGACCCAAGUUUGAAAUUAAAAAUUUUAAUUGAUGGGGGUGAGGGUGAGGGCGAAUAAAAAUAUAAAUAAGUGAAAUUCACAUAUAUUCAUGUCCAAUUUUCAUUUGUUAGAAUAUUGACAGAUUUGGAAGGAAAUUGAAGAGAGGAUCUAGCAUGUUAGUUACAAAUCAUGUCUCACAUCACUAAUCCUAUGAAAUAACAAAUUUAACCACUUGGCAUGCACUCAACAUUUCCGUUUUUAUUCUCUUAAAUUAAAGUUAAAACAAUUCAAUAUAAUUCAUCCUCAAAAUAUUCUAGACUAGUCAUUACUUGAAUAUAAAUUAUACUCAUUCUGUUUCAAUAUAUAUAUAUAUAUGAUUAAGUUUGAUUUUUUUAAAUUAAUUGAAAAUAUUUUAAAUUGAUGAUGUGAUUCAUAAACUUAUUGAAAUUAGCUAAUUUAGAAUGUUUGCAAUUUUAUAAAUGUAUUGCAUAAAAUUAAAUUAAUUUAUAUAUAAGUAUUGAAUUUAAAAAUAUUUUAAAUUAAAUUCAAAAAAUAAUAUUCAUCUUAUAAUUAUAUAACAUAAAUUUUUAGUUUUGAAACAUCUCAAAAAUGUAUGAGUGGAGCAUGUCCCUUUCUUGCAUGUGCCAUUUAUGAUUUGAGGAUUUUAUACUUGUCCAGCUUGCAAAACUUGAUGCNNNNNNNNNNNNNNNNNNNNNNNNNNNNNNNNNNNNNNNNNNNNNNNNNNNNNNNNNNNNNNNNNNNNNNNNNNNNNNNNNNNNNNNNNNNNNNNNNNNNAAUUCGUUUGGUCGUGGAAUAUUCUUACUGUCGGGGAAUAUUCGUAUGACGGCACAGCCUUGUGUGGGCCCUAUAACGGAAAGCGAUUGGAUGAAUAAAACGACAAAUAUAAGUUUAUAAAUAACGGCGUAGUUGGUACCGUUAAUACUGUUAAAAUAUUCGGUGGUUAAAACACAGUAGCACACGGUAUUACACCAAUUAUUGAUUCUUACGUAAGAAGACACUACUUAAUAAUUGUUACAGUAGUUACUGUUCAAUAUUUUAUUUUAUUGAUUCAAUAAUUGCUACGUUGAUAUUUUAUAUUAUUGUUGUUUCAAUAAUUGUCAUUACACAGUAUUUUCAUUAUCAGAUCAAUAAUUUAUAUUAUUUGAAUAAUAUUAUUAGAUAACAUUAUUGGCAAUGUCUAGAAAAUUCUGUCUAAGGAGAUGUUUGGUCACCUAAUUGCGCGCCAGUAAGGAGAAAUCUUUAUUGGAAAAAGCCCCCUCUUUCCUGGGAACAGCCUGGUUGCCAGUAUUGUGAUUCUGUAAUAUUAUUUGUGAAUAAUUAAUUAUUGAUUUAUAUGAUAAGGAAAAUAUUCAUUUUAUAUGGAUAUAGAUGGAGAAAUUUUUUAAUGUAACAAUUGUUUAAAAUUGAUAUUUUAUCUUUUCGAUAAAAUAAUUCAUUUAAAUAAUUUUUUUGCUUUGGUGUUCUAAGCAUUUUUCUAUAAAUAGGGUGCUUCGGUAUGAAGAGUCUCUGUUUCAGCUCUUUGGAGCUUCCUUUUCAGAGCUAAAACUUCCUUGUUCACCACUUUCAUGGCGUAAUAACAGCUCUCGUCGCUCUGGAGACUGCAGAGGUACACUUUUUCGAUGUCGCCGCUACCAAUCUGGCGGACGAGGCUAAAGUCUCGGAAUCCGAGGUGACUAUCGAUCUACUGUAAGAGAGCGAGAGAUAGAGAGAGAGAGAUAAAGGAGGGGGAAGAGGAGGAGAUCCGUGUUUAAGCUCAAGAGAAGAAAGUAGAUUCAUGUUCAAGAGAGAAGAAAGUAGAUCCGUGUUCAAGAGAGAAGAAAGAGAUAGGGUUCACUAUCGUCCUUCUUCUAAUUUCAAAAUUUAAGCUCUGUGUUUUAUUUUUG
RNAcentral lists this long non-coding RNA (7031 nucleotides) under Panax ginseng (ginseng). Its description in RNAcentral is "long non-coding RNA (PGIN_LNC008858)". The record is from RNAcentral. Lineage: Eukaryota; Viridiplantae; Streptophyta; Magnoliopsida; Apiales; Araliaceae.